Molecule: ribosomal RNA, 506 nt
Filed under: uncultured bacterium
Lineage: Bacteria
Description: partial 16S ribosomal RNA
Rfam family: Bacterial small subunit ribosomal RNA
Source: RNAcentral
AUUGAACGCUGGCGGCAGGCCUAACACAUGCAAGUCGAGCGGUAGCACAAGGGAGCUUGCUCCCCGGGUGACGAGCGGCGGACGGGUGAGUAAUGUCUGGGAAACUGCCUGAUGGAGGGGGAUAACUACUGGAAACGGUAGCUAAUACCGCAUAACGUCGCAAGACCAAAGUGGGGGACCUUCGGGCCUCACGCCAUCGGAUGUGCCCAGAUGGGAUUAGCUAGUAGGUGGGGUAACGGCUCACCUAGGUGACGAUCCCUAGCUGGUCUGAGAGGAUGACCAGCCACACUGGAACUGAGACACGGUCCAGACUCCUACGGGAGGCAGCAGUGGGGAAUAUUGCACAAUGGGCGCAAGCCUGAUGCAGCCAUGCCGCGUGUGUGAAGAAGGCCUUCGGGCUGUAAAGCACUUUCAGCGAGGAGGAAGGCGUUAAGGUUAAUAACCUUGACGAUUGACGUUACUCGCAGAAGAAGCACCGGCUAACUCCGUGCCAGCAGCCGCAGUAA